This is a non-coding RNA of Pelobates cultripes (western spadefoot toad), 491 nucleotides long. NCBI's taxonomy places the organism in Eukaryota, Metazoa, Chordata, Amphibia, Anura, Pelobatidae. The record is from the annotation of a GenBank genome assembly.
AUCCAGAUUACAAGAAAAGUACAACAACAACAACAACAACAAAAGCUUUCAAAUUUCUGAUCUCCCAGUUUGUUUGUUUUUAUAUUUAAUAGUCUCUUCUUUUUGGCUUUUUAACCAUUCAGAAUGAAAAAAAAAGUAGAUUUCGGUAAAAAGUUGUGCUUGCGUUCUGCUCUGACUGCAGUUAUAAAUAUUUCAUUCUUGCAGGAGGACCACCCUGAAGUAACAGGCAACUUGCUCUGAUUUUGUCCCCCCUUGCAAUCUGCCUCCUUUUGGGGGAAUGUUUGUAAAGCAGUUAACUUUCCUUGUAGUUUGUGACUCCAGUUGUUGUUUGUUUGUGCGAGGAAGGAUGCGUCUGUUCUGUUUUUUGCUCUCUUUUUCUGAGUUUUGGGGGAAUACGUUGAAGAGUAGAGCAGUCAGACUGAGCACUGUGUGUGGCUGGGAUGGGGAGACCCAGAGGAUUCUCAGUUCUCAGCAUGCUGUCUGUGGUUACU